CAAUAGCGUAUAUUAAAGUUGUUGCGGUUAAAAAGCUCGUAGUUGGAUUUCCGUUGAGGGAUACCGGUCUGCGGACUAGUUCGUAGCACUAGGAUGUUCCCUUGACAUCUCUUGGUAUGCAUGAUAGCGCUUGAUUGUGCUUCAUGGAUUCCGGGGCAUUUACUUUGAGGAAAUUAGAGUGUUUCAAGCAGGCGUCUGCCUUGAAUACAUUAGCAUGGAAUAAUAGGAUAGGACUUCGGUUCUAUUUUGUUGGUUUCUGGGACUGGAGUAAUGAUUAAUAGGGAUAGUCGGGGGCAUUCGUACUUAACUGUCAGAGGUGGAAUUCUUGGAUUUGUUAAAGACGAACUACUGCGAAAGCAUUUGCCAAGGAUGUUUUCAUUGAUCAAGAACGAAAGUUAGGGAUCGAAGACGAUCAGAUACCGU
This 423-nucleotide ribosomal RNA is filed under the name uncultured eukaryote. RNAcentral describes it as "bacterial SSU rRNA". It matches the Rfam family "Eukaryotic small subunit ribosomal RNA", at positions 592 to 1018 of the family's 1831-position model. The record is from RNAcentral.